UACGUAGGCAGCGAGCGUUGUUCGGAGUUACUGGGCGUAAAGGGUGCGUAGGCGGCUUUUUAAGUUUGGUGUGAAAUCUCCCGGCUCAACUGGGAGGGUGCGCCGAAUACUGAGAGGCUAGAGUGUGGGAGAGGAAAGUGGAAUUCCUGGUGUAGCGGUGAAAUGCGUAGAUAUCAGGAGGAACACCGGUGGUGUAAACGGCUUUCUGGACCAUAACUGACGCUGAGGCACGAAAGCGUGGGUAGCAAACAGG
Molecule: ribosomal RNA, 253 nt
Filed under: uncultured bacterium
Lineage: Bacteria
Description: partial 16S ribosomal RNA
Rfam family: Bacterial small subunit ribosomal RNA
Source: RNAcentral